RNAcentral lists this non-coding RNA (91 nucleotides) under Thraustochytrium sp. LLF1b. Lineage: Eukaryota; Bigyra; Thraustochytrida; Thraustochytriidae. The record is from RNAcentral.
GAGUGUAACCUUCUUUUUGUGGCCGACCUAAACUCCGAAGACGCGUGGAGAAGCCAGAAGAAGACGCGAGUUUGAGCGUGGGAGCUUUGUA